UACGGAGGAUCCGAGCGUUAUCCGGAUUUAUUGGGUUUAAAGGGAGCGUAGGUGGAUUGUUAAGUCAGUUGUGAAAGUUUGCGGCUCAACCGUAAAAUUGCAGUUGAAACUGGCAGUCUUGAGUACAGUAGAGGUGGGCGGAAUUCGUGGUGUAGCGGUGAAGUGCUUAGAUAUCACGAAGAACUCCGAUUGCGAAGGCAGCUCACUGGACUGCAACUGACGCUGAGGCUCGAAAGUGUGGGUAUCAAACAGG
Molecule: ribosomal RNA, 253 nt
Filed under: uncultured bacterium
Lineage: Bacteria
Description: partial 16S ribosomal RNA
Rfam family: Bacterial small subunit ribosomal RNA
Source: RNAcentral